Molecule: non-coding RNA, 435 nt
Organism: Oryzias melastigma (Indian medaka)
Lineage: Eukaryota; Metazoa; Chordata; Actinopteri; Beloniformes; Adrianichthyidae
Source: the annotation of a RefSeq genome assembly
AUGAGUGUGAUCUGCGUCCUCAUCUGGACUCUCCUCUGCUGCUGCUUCACAGAGUCCAGAGGACAGGUCACAGUGACUCAGCCUGGAGCAGUGAGCUCCACUGUGGGAGGAUCUGUCUCCAUCUCAUGUAGAAUCAGUCAGAAUAUUGUUGGCGACCGUUUAUCCUGGUAUCAACAGAAAGAUGGAGAAACUCCUAAACUCCAUAUUUAUGAUAUCAGCAACAGACCAUCAGGAACUUCAACUCGUUUUACAGGCAGUGGAUCAUCUUUUGGACAAGAUUUCACUCUGACCAUCAGUGGAGUUCAGGCUGAAGAUGCAGCAGUUUAUUACUGUCAGAGUUAUCACUACAUCAACAGUCAGUAUGUAUUCACACAGUGAAAAACAGUCGUACAAAAACCUCCCUCAUUCAGGCUGAACAGAAACUGAUGAUACAGU